UUUCAUCUAAUUAUUUAUUCAAGGUAAAUAACAUAGUUAUAUCCCGCGGUAUAUCAAAGAAAACAGACUUAAAAUUAUAUAAUAGACGUUUAAUUUUACACAACACAGCAUUAUAAUAGCUAUCACGUCGUUUGAGCCUACAACGAAAAACUAGGCUAGCAUAAUGCUCCCAGGGGCUCAACAAAACACAUUACGUUUACUAAUAUUGGCUCAAUUGAUUUAUAUUAACGAGAAUUAACGGUGCAAACAAUGAACAUUUUAGGUGAACACAGAGGCUACAAAAAGCUUGUUUCCCUAAAUUAUGGUAUGUGCCAAGUAAAAUUGUUGCAAAAUUUCAGAAAAUGUAGUUUAAAGAGAGAACAGAAUAAAAAUUGUCAAAAUUUCAUUGUAACCAACAAAAAGUACAUAUGAAGCCAAUUUAACAUCCAUAGCUUUUAGGUAAGGCCAAUUAUAUACGAUAAACACAAAGGUGGAUAGGGUGGCUGGGUAUUUUUUAU
Molecule: non-coding RNA, 497 nt
Organism: Paramuricea clavata
Lineage: Eukaryota; Metazoa; Cnidaria; Anthozoa; Malacalcyonacea; Plexauridae
Source: the annotation of a GenBank genome assembly